Molecule: ribosomal RNA, 492 nt
Filed under: uncultured bacterium
Lineage: Bacteria
Description: partial 16S ribosomal RNA
Rfam family: Bacterial small subunit ribosomal RNA
Source: RNAcentral
AUUGAACGCUGGCGGCAUGCUUUACACAUGCAAGUCGAACGGUAACAGGCCUUCGGGUGCUGACGAGUGGCGAACGGGUGAGUAAUGCAUCGGAACGUACCCAGAGGUGGGGGAUAACGCAGCGAAAGCUGUGCUAAUACCUCAUGUGAUCUGAGGAUGAAAGCGGGGGACCGAGCAGCAAUGUUUGGCCUCGCGCCUUUGGAGCGGCCGAUGUCGGAUUAGCUAGUUGGUGGGGUAAAGGCCUACCAAGGCGACGAUCCGUAGCUGGUCUGAGAGGACGACCAGCCACACUGGAACUGAGACACGGCCCAGACUCCUACGGGAGGCAGCAGUGGGGAAUUUUGGACAAUGGGCGCAAGCCUGAUCCAGCAAUGCCGCGUGCGGGAAGAAGGCCUUCGGGUUGUAAACCGCUUUUGGCAGGAACGAAACGGUGUCCGCUAAUACCGGGCGGUAAUGACGGUACCCGCAGAAUAAGCACCGGCUAACUACGUG